This 1316-nucleotide ribosomal RNA is filed under the name Brassica rapa (field mustard). RNAcentral's name for it is "SSU rRNA". It matches the Rfam family "Eukaryotic small subunit ribosomal RNA", at positions 1 to 1366 of the family's 1831-position model. Lineage: Eukaryota; Viridiplantae; Streptophyta; Magnoliopsida; Brassicales; Brassicaceae. The record is from RNAcentral.
CCUGGUUGAUCCUGCCGCCAUCAUAUGCUUAUCUCAAAGAUUAAUACAUUCAUGUGGGCAUGAACGAAUUCAGACUCAGAAACUGCGAAUGGCUCAUUAAAUCAGUUAUAGUUUGUUUUGAUGGUAACUACUACUCGGAUAAACCUUGAGUAAUUCCUGAGCUAAUAAUGCGGCAAAACCCCGAACACUUCUGGGAAGGGAUGCAUUUAUUAGAUAAAGGUAUCGACGCUCUGCCCGUUUAUCUGAUGAUUCAUGAUAACUUCACGGAUCGCAUGGCCUUCAAAGUUACGACGCGAUCAUUCAAAUUUCUACCCUAUCAACUUUCGAUGGUAGGAUAGUGGCCUACCAUGGUGGUGGUAACGGGUGACGAGAAUUGGGGUUCAAUUAGGAGAGCCUGAGAAACGGCUACCAAGAUCCAAGGAAGAAAGUAGCGCAAAAUUACCCAAUCGACGGGAGGUAGUGACAGUAAAUAUGAUACGGGCUCUUUGAGUCUGGGUAAUUGGAAUGAAUUACAAUCGAAUCCAUAACGAGGAUCCAUUGAGGCAAGUCUGGUGCCAGCAGCCGCUGUAAUUCCAGCUCCAAUGGUGAUCCAUUUGUUGUUGCAGUUAAAAGCUCGAGUUGAACCUUGGAUGGGGUAAAAGUCCGUCCGCUUCGUGAGCACCGGUCGGCUUUGUCUCUUCUGGCGGUGAUCGCUCCUGGCCUUUAACGGGUCACCCCGGCUGUUACUUUGAAGAAAUUUUAGAGUGCUUUCAAAGCAGUAUCCACGCCUUAUACAUUAGCAUGGGAUAACAUCAUGGGAUUUCAUCCUAUCAGGGUUGGGAUCGACUGAGUAAUGAUUACUGGGACGGUCGGGGUAUCUGUAUUUAUAGUCGGAGGUGGUCUGGAUUUAUGAAAGAUCAACAACUAUGAAAGCAUUUGCCAAGGAUGUUUUCAUUAAUCAAGAACUUAAAGUUAGGGGCUCCAAGGCGACUGAUACCGUCCUAGUCUCAACCAUAAACGAUGCGUCACCAGGAUCAGCGGAUGUUGCUUUUAGACCCGCUGGCACCUUAUGAGAAACCGCAAGUUUUGGGUUCCGUGGGGAGUGGUCGCAAGGCUGAAACCCUUAAAAUUGACCGGACGGGCACCAACCAACGAGUGGUUCUUCGCCGCAUUUGACUCAACAUCGGGAAAACUUACCGUAUCCAGAAGAUAGUAAGACUGAUGACUGAGAGCUCUUUCUGGAUUCUGGCGGUGGUGGUGCAUGGUCGUUCUGCUGGUGGAGCCAUUUGUCUGCUAAUCUGCGAACGAAUCUAGUGACCUGCUAACUAGCUAAUGGA